CAUUUUGCGAACGGCGAGCAGCGGCGGCGGCGCGGAGAGGCGCAGCGGAGGUUUUCCUGGUUUCGGACCCCAGCGGCCGGAUGGUGAAAUCCUCCCUGCAGCGGAUCCUCAACAGCCACUGCUUCGCCAGAGAGAAGGAGGGGGAUAAACCCAGCGCCACCGUCCACGCCACCCGCACCAUGCCGCUCCUCAGCCUGCACAGCCGCGGAGGCCGCAGCAGCGAGAGGUGUGGACGAUGAAAGGGUCGAGGCCUGGGCUGCUUCUGUGAAAAGACAGGUUCCUGGAUCACUAGGAAAAGGCUGCUGGAUUUCGAGGUCUCCACUGCAGCCUGAAAAGUGGAAAAGGGGAAGCUGAAGCCGCUCGACUUAGAAGUGGGAAGUAGAACCUGAUGCAGGCUUGGCUUGAGACAGUUUGUGGUGGUCUUAAGAUAAAGGUUCCAGGGUCUCCAUCAACUGCUGUAGUAACCUGGGUCCAGGGCCUCGGUGGUGCUCCUGAUGUCCCUCACCCACCCCUGAAGAUCCCAGGUGGGCGAGGGAAUAGUCAGAGGGAUCACAAUCUUUCAGCUAAUUUAUUUUACUCUGAUAAUCGGCUGAAUGUAACAGAGGAACUAACGUCUAAUAACAAGACGAGAAUUUUAAACGUCCAAUCCAGGCUCACAGAUGCCAAACACAUUAACUGGAGAGCGGUGCUGAGCAAUAGCUGCCUCUACAUCGAGAUCCCAGGCGGCGCUCUGCCCGAGGGGAGCAAGGACAGCUUUGCAGUUCUUCUCGAAUUUGCUGAGGAGCAGCUCCACGCUGACCAUGUCUUCAUUUGCUUCCACAAGAACCGCGAGGACAGAGCCGCCUUGCUCCGUACCUUCAGCUUUUUGGGCUUUGAGAUUGUGAGACCGGGGCAUCCCCUUGUCCCCAAGAGACCCGACGCUUGCUUCAUGGCCUACACGUUUGAGAGAGAGUCCUCUGGUGAGGAGGAGUAGUGUGAUGCCUGGGCCCUUGGCCUCGAUCGCAGUCCCUUGUGUGCGCUUUGUGCUGCGCCUCUGCGGGUGGUGUGAUUAACUGCGUGCUGACCCAUGUCAGCCUGCUUCACCUGCUGGGUUUGUCCGCAUGUUGUAAUUGUGCAAAUAAACGCUCACUCCAAAUUAGCCGUGUAUUUCUUGGAAGUUUAAUAUUGUGUUUGUGAUACUGAAGUAUUUGCUUUAAUUCUAAAUAAAAAUUUAUAUUUUACUUUUUUAUUGCUGGUUUAAGAUGAUUCAGAUUAUCCUUGUUCUUGGAGGAGGAGUUUCUUAUUUUGAAGUUUUUUGGAAACAGUCUUAGGUCUCUUAACUUGGAAAGAUAAUAAUCUACUCUUCUAUUGCUCUCAAAAAUCUGAAUAAAAGUGAUUAUUCCUCCAAGA
Molecule: RNA transcript, 1389 nt
Organism: Sus scrofa (pig)
Lineage: Eukaryota; Metazoa; Chordata; Mammalia; Artiodactyla; Suidae
Gene: OAZ1
Gene name: ornithine decarboxylase antizyme 1
Source: RefSeq, marked reviewed